Anguilla anguilla (European eel) is the source of this 612-nucleotide long non-coding RNA. RefSeq lists it as uncharacterized. The transcript is spliced from 4 exons. Lineage: Eukaryota; Metazoa; Chordata; Actinopteri; Anguilliformes; Anguillidae. The record is from RefSeq and is a predicted model, not a curated record.
GGGGGAAAUGACACACAGUAUGAGAUUUCAGCUCCAUUAUAAACCUUAAAAUAAAUAAAUAAAUAAAAUAAAAAAUGUAAAACAUUUUUCUAUUGAUUUCAGAUGCUCCCAAGAACACAAGGUAUUGGGACUAUUUAUAAAAAGGGCAGUACUUUAUACAUCGGAUCAUCUGAUGGAUGUGAAUGCCCCCAAAUUUUUCAAUCUGCUGGAGUACAAAACAAAAACAACAAAAAUUGUAUCACUGUCCUGAUACUUUUCCAACUUAUAUCAAUGUAUUCACACGGAGAUAAAAUAAACAUUAUAUAUUCAAACUUUAUGUCUAGUGCCAUCCUGGAGCAGAGCACAGCACUACUGCUUGGCUCAGAACACUCAUGGAGCUCAGACCUCUACUCCUGUGUCAGACAAUAUAAAAGCAGGAGAUAACACAGUGCUCAUAUGGAUGGUUGUUGGAAUCUCUGUGGCUAUUGCACUCUUUGCUAUCAUGGUGUGCACAAGCAGGAAGAAGAGCACCAACAGAGAGAGGGGGAGGAGCAGACGCUCUCGUACUAGCAGAGCCUUUAGAGAGUGACAAACGCAGCCAGCGACACAAACUCUGUGCUUCAGAGAGCUGAC